CAGAACUUCCACGGCCGAGGUCAGCGGCACAGCUCUGACAUUCAAGAUCGGAUCGGCCUCUGAUGACCCACGAAUAAGAGGCGGCUCUCACCUCCUAUUCCCCGCGGGACGGGGUCCCCCCAGAGAGCCGCA
Molecule: long non-coding RNA, 132 nt
Filed under: Fukomys damarensis (Damara mole-rat)
Lineage: Eukaryota; Metazoa; Chordata; Mammalia; Rodentia; Bathyergidae
Description: lncRNA (ENSFDAG00000022998.1)
Source: RNAcentral